AUGCGGCCCUGGGUGAACAGCAGGAACCCCUUGCAGGUGGAGGGAGGCCGGGGCUGCCUGUCCCUGCGCCCUGAAGCUGGCCAGCGGUUGUGGAAACUGGGGGACGUUGAGGGAACGGUACACCUAGGUCCUCAGCCCCAGUGUGGAACCUGGCGAUCCCAGGGCCUGGGCUGGCUCCCCGCGUCGUGGGACCGGAAAGGCGCGGCGGCGCUGCGGAGAAUUGCAGGGAAGAAGGCGGGCUCCGGUGGAGGUGGCUCAUCCCCGCACGGUCACUGCCCUCGCCCGCUGUUGGGUUGCCGACACGUGGAACCUGAGGCAGCAGGACAGCCUGGCGUUGGCCACGGGACAUUGGCCACAGCCAUAGCAACUUCGGCAUCAAAUGGGGCAGGAGAGAGAACAUUAAGGUAUCGUUCAAAGAACACUAGUGUCUUAGAUACUUCUGUAUGCCUCUUCUUUAUCUCAUCCUAAAAGAUCUUCGCAGGGUCCCAUUAGGGCAAAACCAGAACCUUCUGCAUGGUUAUAAAGGCAGGGUGGGCAUGCCGUUCUGGGCAUUUAAAGUGCAGACUCUAGACUUGUAUGCAUGCGUAGCCUCCUAGGUUAAGAUUUAAAAUAGGCUCUGGGAAACCUACUUUGGUAAUAGGGAGACUGGGGACACUGAUGGUGACUUGAUUCUAGGAUGGGAUGAAGGUAGCGAGGAUGGGAAGCAAGACGAGGCUAACCUAUGGGGUGUCUCGAUGGCUUCUGAAAAGGGCCUGUCUGCCCCCCAGUACUAAUACUUGUUAUACCGUGAACUUCAGCUGCUCUUGAUGGGAGAGGAGAGAGAAGAUUAUUGUUAACAAACACUGUUGCAGACAGUGCGCCUGCUGUCACAUUUAGUCUUCACAACAACCCUGCAGGAUGGGGAUUUACUUCUGUUUUGCAGAUUGGAGAAACUGAGGCUCAAAGAAGUUAGGGGUCCACCUGUGAGCACAUGCACAGGAAGGGGAAGAGCCGCCAUUGGAAGCAGAGCCCUGCCCCUUCCUCCUCACACCUGGCUCCCUGGGAGGCCCCUCCUCUGGCCUCGUACACAGCAUUGUGACAGGCAGUAUGGAAGCCUCUUUCCCGCAGUACUCCCCUCAGAGCCCUUCCUUCUGAGCUGGGAAGGCCAGGUUGUAGUUGGCCAGGUCAGUUCCUUGGGGUUCUGAAUUAGCAACUUUCAGCCGUGUGUUCUUUGACAUUUCUGAGCUUCUCCAGGCCUCAGUUUUGUCACCUGCCACUUUUGGAGGGGGAAGGGGGAAGGGAACCAGUAGCCCACCACAGGGGUCUCUGGGUGCUGGGCAGCCCUCUGGUGAGACAGGCAUAGUGGGAUGCUCGUUGCUGAUGGCUUCUCAGUGGGUCUUGGUGGGGGUCUGAGGACCUCAUUCCACCUGUCUCCUCAGGGGCCAGAGGCUGCUGGCCUGGCUGUUUGUGGCCCCCUCCCUGGGAGGGUGGUGGGUUUGGCCAGAAGCUGUGUAGGUGUCCAGAUGGGCCUUCCCUGGGGUCUUGGACCUGCAAAUGAGUGGUUUUCUCCCUGCCAGGGGCCGUCCCAGUCAGGAGGAACACCUCCCGCCCUCCUCAUUCUUGCAGCCUCAGGAGCUGCUAAGAAGCAGUUGGGCAGGUGGGGAUCCACUCAGUGACUUGUUCCAUGGCAUGUCAUGAGCACGAUUGGCAGGGCCAGGCCAGAUCAGUAAAAAGGUCGAGAGCUGUGAGGCACAGGCCUGCUCAGUGCUCGAAGGGGAGAGGAGCUCAGAUGUCCCUGAGCUGUGUGCCCUUGGGGGUCACUAAGCCUCUCUGAGCUUAUGGAAUUCUCCUGUCUGUAGAAUGGAGAUAAUGACUGUCUCAAGAGGUUGCUUGCACAGUUACAUGAGACAAUGUGUGCAAAGGAUGUGGCACAUGCCUGGCCCUUGGCGAGUGAUCAGGCCCUGGCAGCUGUUAUUACCAUCGCUGUUACAGGCUUUAUUGCCCUCCUUUGUUUGUAUGUCCAUCUUAGAGCUCAUUGAGGGCAGGGUCUGGGUCAGAACCCUCUCUUGGCUACUCCUCCUUUUCCUGAUCCUCCCAGGGACAAGUCUGGUUUCAGCCCCGUGAAGCAGCUGGGAUGGGACAUCCUUACCAGGCUGAGGCUGUGUUCAGAGCUGCACAGUCCAGUACAGUAGCCAUUAGCCUCAUGUGGCCAGUUAGAUCCAAAUAAAACUUAAACAUUCAGUGUCUCAGUUGCAGUGGCCCCCUGCCGAGUGCUUGGUACCCACAUGCCAUUGGUACCUACCUAUUAGCACAGGGUAGAAUCUUUCCAUCAUUACAGGAAGUUGUGCAGCGCUGGAGUCUCAGGGACUAUAGCACCAGUAUCAUCCUCACUGUGGCUCAACAGCCACCAGCCGUCUCCUGAGUGCUGGGCUGCCAAGACAUUUGUAAUUACACAGAAACCGAGUCCCACAGCCCUUCCCGAAUUUCCUCUUGGGUAGCCUUGCUCACCUGGCCGGGGAGGUUGUUUCCUGGCAGUCCUUAUCAGCUUAGGGUGGGAGGGCAGGACUGGGAUUGCACAAAUGCAGCUGCUGCCUCCUGUCCCCACCCUGUUUCUCCAGCCUCUCCUGCCUGUCAAGGAGCCCCAGAGUGCUCUUCCUAAUUCACUGCUGUGGCCAGGGCCAAGGUGACCCAGACACUUUGACCCCAGUGCUCCCCUCAUGCCUCUUUCCUCCUGCCCACCCUGCUCUCCACCUGAACACGUUCUUGCUUCUCUCACUCCAGGCCUGACUUAUGUGGCUGGUCCUCCGGGAAGCCUUUUCUCAUCUCUCACCCUAAGUGAGCUCUCCUGCCUCGGCGGGGCCCUCCCUCAGACCCCAUUUUUGGCACUCAGCGCCCUCCUCUGUGGGUGUGUUCUUAUAUUUGCUUGUUCUCUUGGUUAGGUACACAGGAGAUAUUCUCUGAGUGCCAACUACAUGUCAGGUCAGUGCUGGGUGUUGGACAGCCAGAGGGGAGCAGGCCUCAGGCCAGGCUUUGCCAACUUCAGGCUGGUGGGGAGGCUGACAGUUGGCCAAACUGUUCCAUCCAGGCCCAGUGCUUGGUCAGGGAUGAAGGCUGCCUGGCUGGAGAGUCAGGAAAGGGGCCCCAGGAAGAGACGCUGAGGUGGAGAGGGUCAGAGCUGCCCUAGGCUGCAGCUGGGUCAGGGGCCAGGGUAGUCUUUAUGGCUGGGGGAAGUGAC
Molecule: long non-coding RNA, 3214 nt
Organism: Macaca mulatta (Rhesus monkey)
Lineage: Eukaryota; Metazoa; Chordata; Mammalia; Primates; Cercopithecidae
Source: Ensembl